GUUGUUGUCCCUGUUGCACCUCCAAUAUCCUCCUCAUAUCUUCCCUCGCAACCACUUGUUGUUGAACCAAUACUUGCAUUAACUGAGCUACAGUAAUUUAUUCCCCAAGUUGAAUUUCAUGUUCUCCUGGAGUUUCUUCCCCGAGAGUGACCUUUGCAGGCUCAAUAGGAUGUUCUUGUUGUGGUGCAUCAUCAUCCGA
Molecule: long non-coding RNA, 199 nt
Filed under: Elaeis guineensis (African oil palm)
Lineage: Eukaryota; Viridiplantae; Streptophyta; Magnoliopsida; Arecales; Arecaceae
Description: long non-coding RNA (EGUI_LNC073602)
Source: RNAcentral